UAAUUGUAACUCUAUUAUGAGCCCAAUAUCCUAGCUAAUUCUCAACUCUAAUUCAAGGACUUGCUAUGAAUAAGUUCAUAAUACUGAGAAUGGUUAAUUAAGCCAGAAAGACACCUCGCAGUGUGACUAACAUUGUCUUUGAAAUGAAGGCUCAUUCUAGAUGGCUUUAUUUUCGUAUAAUAUUAAAUACUGCCAUUUACGAUACAUACUGGC
Paramuricea clavata is the source of this 213-nucleotide non-coding RNA. The record is from the annotation of a GenBank genome assembly. NCBI's taxonomy places the organism in Eukaryota, Metazoa, Cnidaria, Anthozoa, Malacalcyonacea, Plexauridae.